AAUAUUGAAGUGUAGUAAUGAAAUAUAUAGUAUUGAAAGCAUGUGCAAUCAAUAUAUUACUUUUAAUUAUUGCUUAGAAUUAUUGGCAUAAUGUUGAUUCAAAUUAUUCCAAAAAAAAUUCUAAAGUGAUCUAUCAUUCAUUAAUAUUAAUUGUUUAUGGGCAUUUUUCCAAGGAAAUCAAAUCCAAUUCAUCACGUGUAGCACCUCUCCCAUUUUAUUCAUGUGCACCCUCCCCC
This 236-nucleotide long non-coding RNA is filed under the name Vigna radiata. Its description in RNAcentral is "long non-coding RNA (VRAD_LNC013346)". The record is from RNAcentral. Lineage: Eukaryota; Viridiplantae; Streptophyta; Magnoliopsida; Fabales; Fabaceae.